This 512-nucleotide ribosomal RNA is filed under the name uncultured bacterium. Its description in RNAcentral is "bacterial SSU rRNA". It matches the Rfam family "Bacterial small subunit ribosomal RNA", at positions 28 to 534 of the family's 1533-position model. The record is from RNAcentral.
GAUGAACGCUAGCGGGAGGCUUAACACAUGCAAGUCGAGGGGCAGCAUAGGGUAGCAAUACUCUGAUGGCGACCGGCAAACGGGUGAGUAACGCGUAUGUAACCUACCCUGUACAGGGGGAUAACCCGGAGAAAUUCGGACUAAUAUCCCAUAACAAUAUCCGGGGGCAUCUUUGGAUAUUUAAAGUUCCGGCGGUACGGGAUGGGCAUGCGUAACAUUAGCUAGUUGGUAAGGUAACGGCUUACCAAGGCUUUGAUGUUUAGGGGUCCUGAGAGGGUGGUCCCCCACACUGGUACUGAGACACGGACCAGACUCCUACGGGAGGCAGCAGUGAGGAAUAUUGGUCAAUGGGCGCAAGCCUGAACCAGCCAUCCCGCGUGCAGGAAGACGGCGCUAUGCGUUGUAAACUGCUUUUCCAGGGAGAGAAACUUGCGCACGUGUUGCGCAAUUGACGGUACCCUGGGAAUAAGCAUCGGCUAACUCCGUGCCAGCAGCCGCGGUAAACGUGCGUG